Nyctereutes procyonoides (raccoon dog) is the source of this 5739-nucleotide long non-coding RNA. RefSeq lists it as uncharacterized. Lineage: Eukaryota; Metazoa; Chordata; Mammalia; Carnivora; Canidae. The record is from RefSeq and is a predicted model, not a curated record. The transcript is spliced from 8 exons.
UCUGGUGGCUCUGCUCUCCCAGCCUGUGAACGGCACCCGCCACCUGAGGGCCUUGCUGGGCCUGGCGCUGCCCGGAACCCCUUCCCCCGGGACCCCGGUCUCGGAGGGUUGGUGAGAGCUGUUCUUGCGACUUGGGGCCGCAUUGCAAACUCCCGCGGCCCCGGCGCCUUAGAGGAAGGAGUUCACAGGCUCGCGGGGGAGUUCUGGAAGCAUCCUUCCUGCAGGGGCUGAUUUUUAUUUAUUUGUAAAUGAGAGACCCAGAAGGAGAGGCAGAGACACAGAGGGAGAAGCAGGCUCCAUGCAGGGAGCCCGACGGGGGACUCGAUCCCGAGAUCACGCCCUGGGUCGAAGAACGAAGGCAGACGCCGUGAGAUGCUUCCCCGCGAAGCCCCCCAGGCAUCCCGCCUCGUGCUGCUUUUAUUCCUUUCCGGGGACAUCGCACUUUUUUUUUUUUUAAAGCUUUUAUUUAUUUAUUCAUGAGAGACACAGAGAGAGAGGGAGGCGAAGAAGCAGGCUCCACACAGGGAGCCCGACGUGGGACUCGAUUCCGGGUCUCCAGGGUCAGCUCCUGGCCGAAGGCUGCGCUAAACUGAGCCACCCGGGCUGCCCGCAUCGCAGACACUUAAUUCCCUCCGGAGAAACAGGUCAACAGGGCUAUGAUCUUGGUGAUGGAAGAGGAACGUUCUGAGGACAACAGGUCCAGGAUGGUGCUGUGACUAUGGGCUGACAUUGAAAUUGAAGCUAACGUGUUUUCCUGAGGACAAGCACCAGGCUGCCUUCCCUACGAGUCACCUAACUCAGUGGGGUCAGUGCUCUGUACUCAUCUGGUACUCAGUUGGAGUGAAUAAUUGAUAAGCAACGUUGUCUACACUUCGAUGGCUCUGAACUCUUUGGGCGGACAGUUCGUGUCCGUUUAGCCAACCCAGUGAGAACUGAGGGAGGCUCAUCCAGACCAGGUGAGUGGGGGCACCGCAGAUGCCUCAUCACAUCCUCAACUUUGGCCUCUCUUGCUUUUUUAUCCCUGUCUCACUUCUGCUGCAGGGGUGUUCACAGUUAGAGAGCUGUAGAGUGGGGAAGAGAAUGCAGCACCUCUGUGGAAAGAGAGUUUGAGAUUCUCCACAAAGCUAGAGCCACUGUCCCCAUAAAGUCUUGCUCUGGGCCGUAGAUGCAGACUGGGCCUAUCCAGCCCCGACAGUGGCUGGGACUUCCCUUUUGGCUCGGCUUGGUCCUCCUCUGUUUUUGCCAUCUGUGUCUGCCAAGAGCUGGACCUGAAAGCCUAACAUUUCCCAGUGGCAGCGUCCCUUGUCCUCAGAGACAACUUCUGCCUGUGAGAGCCCCAUGGGGCGUCCAUGUGGCUGACAGCCGCAAAGAACUAAGUACAGUCGGGGCAGGUGGCCGGUAGCUUGAAUUUCUUAGCAUUUGUUCAAUUCUCUGCCUUUCAGUGUGGUCAGAUGAUGACUGAUGAAGAUUUCUGGGAAGACCCUUUGAAAAGAAUAAAGAGGAGGAAGGAAUGGAGCCUCCCAAAGUGGAAACCCAGGGGGUGAGAUCGAAGCCCUGGGCUUCCCCAGGAGCGGCUGGUACUUUCCCCGCAGGGCGCUUAGAUGUGAGUGGCGAUGGGUGAGGUGAAUGGAGAAGCCUGCUUCUCUAUCCGUGUGGGGCUUGAGAUGAGAAGUAUCCUCCAGCAUGCUUGGGUCCCAACUUGAGAUUGCUCAAACUAGGCGGGGGUCUGAGAUGCGAAGGAACAGUGAGGACGCCCCCUCGCCGGCAUCCUGCAUCCUCCUGACCUUUCCUGCACUCUCACUGUGAAGACUUUGGUAUCAGGCUCAUACUCUUCCUCUUCCUGGCCUGAUUCCGGGGAGCCCCAGCCCCUCAGAUGGACCCAAGUGCCAGCAUUUUCUCCUGCUUCUCCAUACCCCACAGUGACGUUGCUUCUGGGGUUAGCCAAGCUGCUCGUCUGUCCACCUUUAGAGCAACAGUGUUUCUCUGAGUUCCUCCCUUAGCCCUUGGCUCGUCUCUGCACGCUGUCCUUGCAGUUUCGGCCACUUGGCCAGUGUCUGAGCUUAUCACAGCCACUCAGCCUUGUGCUGACUUCCAGAUCUCUAGGGCCAGCCUUGACCUCUCUCCUGAAUUUCAUGUGUUCCUGCCUGCAUGUCUUCCAGGCACCAUAAAUCAACAUAGCACGUCCCAAGUGAAUUUCCUCUCUCCUUCCGCUCUGGUCAUCCUGAGGACCCGAUCUUAGUGAACUUUGCCAUCUUCCGCAGUCACCCAACCCAGGGACUUUCAUGACCUCUCCGGUCCUCAUCACAACCCACACCUACUGCAUUGCCAUAUCCUGCAGUGUUCUCCUUUACAUCUGCCUGAAUCUCUGCUCUCCUGAUUGCUUCCGCCACAGUAGCUUGGCGUAGCCUCUGUCGUCUCUCCUACAAAUAGCUGGUCUCCCUGCCCCGGACCUGCUUCCUCCUAUCCCGAGUAGCCGGAGGGAGCUUUCUAAGGCACACAGUUGACCAUGUGGCUCUCCUCAAGCAGCCUAGGGGUGCCUCAUCUGUAGUGGGGGACAGAGGGGCUUUCCAUGUUUGGACCCCACUCAUCUCUCCACAUUGUAUCCCUAGUUUGCAUUCUAGAAUAAAGUUUGUAGGUAUAAAUCUCUGUGUUUUCACACAUGCAGUCCCUUUGCCUAAAUUCCCUUUCCAACUGACUUUCUCUCGCUAACUCCUACUCAGCUUUUAUAGCUGAGCUCAGCUGCUGCCUUCUACAGGGAACUUUUCUGACUCCUCCAGUGAAGUGAGAUAGGGUCCCUUCUGGGCUUCUGUGGCCUCUGGGCUCCUGUGGCAACCUCAGUCCUGGCAUUUUAUGGUAUUAUUUUGACAUUAUUUAUUUAAAAAUGUUUACAUGUUGCUGACUCUAAGUGCUUUACAAAUGUUGAAUCCUAACAAUAAUCCUUUGAGCUAAGUACUAAUAACUGUCUCCAACUCGAGGUGACAAAACUGAGCACCGGGCGAUCAAGUAACCUGUCCAACAUCAUGCGGCUCAGAAGGGUGGAGCCAAGAUUGGAACAAAGGCUGUGUGCCUGGCACUGGGGUCCAUGUGCCUCUCGCAUUGGUGGCCGACCUCCCUCCUCCCCUCCCCCACCUUUGCCGCUGGAUCGCCAGCUCCUCAGGUACCUUACUUAACAUCUCCAGCACUUGGCCUGAAGGCUCAGCGUGCACACAUUGACCGAUUAAUCCACACCACAGAGCAUAUAAGCAUGAGGAACAGCAAAGGGAGAGGGAGAAGCAGACUGCCUAUUGAGCAGGGAGCCUGACACGGGGCUCUAUCCCAGGAUGUGGGAUCAUGACCUGAGCCGAAGGCAGACGCUUAACUGACUAAGCCACCAGAUGUCUCUGAACUGGGGUCUGCAGGUGUGGAGAGCUGCACACUGCAGGCCAGGGUGUGGUUGUGUGACCGCAGGCCAGGGUGCAGCAAGCUGGUGCGUCUCAGGGCGAGUGUGAUGAGGUCCUGAGCCUGUGGAAUGGGGCUCAGGUAGCCGGUGCUGGGGAUUCCUGUCACUGGGGGUCGGGCCGGGGACCAGGGCCCUGGCCUCUGCCUUCCGCCUGCCCUUCCACGGCCUGGGGCCUUCCCCGUCGGCACCUGCCACAGCCUGCUCGCUGCAUUUGGGUCCUUGGUGUGUGUUCAGAGAACUCGGUCUCCUGGGCCGCCUGGCAGGCUCCGUUAGUAGAGCCUGCAACUCUCGAUCUCGGCGUUGGGAGUUCAAGCCCCAUGUUGGGUGUAGAGGUCACUUAAAUAAAAAUAAAACUUAAAAAAGAAAAAUGCUCGCUCUCCUACCUGGGGAGUCAGAGUGCUCUCCAAACUAAUGAUUUCUGCGCCCAAGGAGAGCCCGCUGCCAAAAAGGCCUGGUCAAAUCCUCAGGUGUACAUGGACAUCAAGAUCGGGAACAAGCUGGCCAGCCGCAUCCAGAUGCUGCUGCGUUUAGACGUUGUUCCCGUGACAGCAGGUGAGCAGGACUCCGGCCCGAGGCUGGUGGCCGAGCCGGCUGGGGAGGAAGCUGCCUGGAAUCUUGAGACUUCAACACCUUUUAUCUGAGCCCUUCUGAGGCAUCUGGGACCCCAGCCUCUUGUCACAUGAGCCUGCGCAGGCAUUCUUGAAGGCUUAGGACCAUUAGAAAGAUAGGCAGUUGCAAGUUAUAAAUUGUAUUGUUUUUUGUAGUUUUGUUUUGAUAUUUUGCAGACACACAGAUGCGUGGAAUAUUCUGUAGGGAUGAUAGUACGAGGAUCUCUUACAUAUGCUUUAUCCACUCACUAUGUUACUUUUUUGCCCUCUAUACACUUUUCCAUUUAAUUUACACACUCGGAUAUAUUUCUUCCUCCCCCCCCCCCCCACCCCGGCUGUGCCAAUUGAGAGGAAGUUGAAGACAUCGUGCCUCUUGACCCCUAAAUAGUUAAGUAUAUAUUUGCUAAGAACAAGACUGCUUCCUUACGUGAUCACAGCACGCCCGCUGAAGUCUGCACGGUAUUUCCUGAUCUUUGGGCCGAGUUCCGGUUUCAGCACUUCCCUAGCAUCGCCCUUUCUGGGGACUGUCGUGGUCCUUCCCUGGCGAGGACUCCUGCACGGGCACGGUCAAGUCUGUAGCCUCCCUCUGUUUGGAACAGAGUCUCGGUGUCUUUCUUGAUCUCGAGGAUUUGAAGAGAACAGGCCUGCUCUGCAGAGGGUUUCUUAGUCUCUGCCUGGUGCUUCCCCAUGUGAACGUUCUGGUAGGAACACCUCGUGUGAGGAAGCACAUGACGACACUUCUAGCAUUUGUGAGGUCAACUUAGGUCACUUGCUUGAGGAGAGGGCUGCCAGCUUUCUCCACUGGAAGGUGACUAUUUUUAGAGCUCUAAAUUAAAAGCUAACAUUUAUUUUCUCCUCACUACCUCCAGCUCAUGCCUUGCCUUUGAGGUGACUACCAUUCACAGGCCUGCUCUCUAGGGCCAACUCCGGCCCCAACACCAACAGCUCCCAGUUCUUCCUGACGUGCGGCAGAUCGAGGUGGGGGGCUGCCCAGCUCCAGGCAGCAAGGACGAGAAGCCGCAGCAGAAGGUGAUCAUCGCCGACUGCGGGGAGUACGUGUGAGUCUGCACGCCCCGUGUCUGCACCGCCCUGCGUCCCGGAGCGGUCACCCCGUCUCGGGGCAUUGGUCCCCUCUGGGCAAGCAGGGCUUUGUGUCCCGGCUCCUGGGAUCCACUUGGAGCGGCUCUUGUGCCGAGGCGGCCCGGGCUUCCUCUGGCUCUCCCCGGGGCGGCCGUGGGCCGGGAGGGCAGAGGCGCCGCUUCUUCCAGGCCUCUGCUGCCGCAGCUGCUCCUAGGCCCACCCAUGUGGCUCCCAGGCGUCGCUUCUGCUAAAAUAAAUGCUAGUUCUUGUCCUGCUGCCUGUCAGCCAGGUCCAGGUGUUUACAAAGGUUGCGGCUGUGCCUGGACCUCCUCCUGCGACAGAGCAGAGCACCGCGCUGCCGUGUGCCUUCCCCCGCCCGGGCCGAGGCCCUGAGCGCACACCCUUGUCAGGUGGCCGCAGAGCCGCGGAGGCCGAGCUGGUGCAGGUGCCUCCAUCCUGCUGUCCCUGCCUCCAUCCUGCCCUCACACCUGGUCCAGAGUCGGGACGGGCACCCAGUUGCCUGUUACUCAGUCGCUGCACCAGUGGUUGGUAGAGUCCUGCCGGGCCCUGCACUUGGUGCUGGGGAGACUGAGGCACAGAUGGUUCCUGGCC